Homarus americanus (American lobster) is the source of this 4305-nucleotide long non-coding RNA. RefSeq lists it as uncharacterized. The transcript has 2 exons. The record is from RefSeq and is a predicted model, not a curated record. Lineage: Eukaryota; Metazoa; Arthropoda; Malacostraca; Decapoda; Nephropidae.
GGUUUGUUGUGUCGUCAGGUCACACCACAGGAGGGAGGGGUUUGUUGUGUCGUCAGGUCACACCACAGGAGGGAGGGGUUUGUUGUGUCGUCAGGUCACACCACAUGAGGGAGGGGUUUGUUGUGUCGUCAGGUCACACCACAUGAGGGAGGGGUUUGUUGUGUCGUCAGGUCACACCACUGGUAUAAGAAGACCCCAGGGAAGUUGAUACAAGUAUGUGUUGUAAAUGUUGUUGUGUCGUAACGUCACACUAAAGGAGAAGUGAAAAUAAGAAUAGUCAGGUCAGCAGUGUAAGAAUACCCUUUUUUGAAGCACAUGACAUGAAUUUAACCAUCCGAACUAAUCUUGACCUGAUCAAACCUAACCAAGUCCUAACCAAACCUUACCUUACCUAACCAAUCAUACAAAAACUCACCUAACCUAGUCUAAACUAACCAAACCAAACCAAACCAAGUCCUGAUCAAACCUGGCCUUUUCUAACCAACCUUACAAAAAACUCAUGUAACCUAAUCUAACCUAACCUACCCAAAUCAAAUCCUGACCAAACCUUACCUUUCCUACCCAAAGCCUUCCAAACAAAUCACCUAACCUAACCCAACCUAAACUAACCAACGGGUCCUUGAAUAGAUUGUGGUUAGAUUGGGUUACGUUUAGUCAACUCGCGUCGUUUAGGAAAAAAAAAAAAAAAACCAAAUCGAUGUUGUUAAAAAAUUUCAUCCAUUUGUAUACAUUAUCUCACGUAAUUCCUUUUGGAGAAGAAAGAUACAGGAAAAACAUAGAUAAAGGAAGUAGGAAGUAAACAAUAUGAAUAACUAUCCAAAUUACGAGUACUACCAUAUCAUUUCCCUCUCCCAAAUAAAAAAAAAAUAACACUGUUUUAAUGCGUAUGUGCGUGCGUGUGUGCAUGUGUAAAAAGCAAAGAAAUGUAUCUAAAGUAAUGGAAGUGUAUAUAUAUAAUUGACCUGAUAUUUAUGAUGAGUGUUAACACAUUUAAGAAUUCCACUAUGAUAUCUGUGUACUGUAUUUGGCGUAUGUCUCUACCUACUGCUGUAUUCUUGAAUCUAUUUUGUAAUGUCGGUACUUUUCGUGUAUAAAUUGAUGUGUGUGUGAACCGAGACUUCCUUUCUAAAAUACGAUAGCAUGUAUAUAUAGCAUUAGGUCACCUGAUAUGUGGCUGUUGCUUUCAUCACAUUUUCUAUAAAAACAGAAAACGUGAACAAUAGUUGGAGUCUCGUAGAAAAUGGGUAGUGGGUGUAUCAUAGAAAAUGGGUCAUGAUUGUAUGACAGAAAAUGGGUAAUGGGUAUAUCACAGAAGAUGGGUAUCAUAUGUAAUUAUGUAUAUACAAUGAAUAUUUCUGUCUGUUAUAGGAUAAGAAUUAAUUAUAGUUGUUGAUAAUCUCACAUUACCAUCACUUGUAUAAUGUUCCUUUUAUUUCACCCAGGAGUUUAGUAAUAUGUAAACUGUGGUUUUUUUUUUACUCUGUACAGAUAAAUGAAUCACGAUUUAUUUUAUCUUUUAAGAAGAAGAAAUUCCUAUGAUGUGCUACUGUGUACCUCUGCUAGGCACAAACCCUCUCCUAGGAUCCUUUCUGCUGGGAUCCUCUUUGCUAGAAUCUACUCUGCUAGGAUCCUGUUUCCUUGGGUUCCAAUUUGCUCUGAUCUUCUCUGCUGGGACCCAAUUUUCUAGGAUCUUCCCUUAUUAGAUUUCUAUCUGCUAGAAUCCCCACUUCAGGGAUUCUUUGCUAGGUUCCUCUUUGCUAGGAUCCUCUUUGCUAGGUUCCUCUUUGCUAGGAUCCUCUUUGCUAGGAACAAACUCUUGUUAGGUACCACUGACCUUAAAGAACAAUACUUCCCGUUUUCUUUCGACUGGCAGAUCCACUUCUCGUUUUCUUUCGACAUAGAGAUCCGUGACUUUCCCAACCCUCAGUAAGGCUCAUUUUACACGUGUUGUGGUAUGGGGAGGUGAGCUUUACUGACCGGCGGCCUCUUCACCCAAGGGUCUGUCACGGAUCUGGUAAGAAAUUUCUUUGCCUGGGGUUAGUGGUUGACGGGGUUGUGUAUGAGUUGGUGAGUUUGGAGAAGGGUCUUAGUUUCAAGGUGCUUCAACUGCCAGGGUCAUUAAGCACCGUUCACUAGGAUUUAGUUUUAAGGUGCUACAACUACCAGGGUUGUUUAGCAUCGUUCACUAGGUCUUAGUUUUUAUAACAUACAACUUAUAGUAAAACAAUGAAUUCCUGUUUUUACUAUGAAGGAAUCCUAACUCUUGUAUAUAAUAUAUUUACACUGAAGAGUUCCUCAUUCCAUGAUCAACCUUCAUCAUUUUCUAAGUGAAAAAAUAGGACUUUUUUCCACUUUUAUCUCAUGUGAACUUUGUACAAAUUACUUUAAAAUGUUGAUGUAUACAUACACUCACUAUAUACUGCAUAUAUAUACUGACACAAUGUCACUGUUAUUGUGGUAAAUUCAUAUCAGUAGCUUUGACGACCCUCUAGUGAUCUUACAUGAUUGGCUAUGUAUGUAUGCACAGUAUGUCUUUACCACCUGCCUGACAAAGCUGUACUGUGUUUUAUUAUUAUUAUUAUUAUUAUUAUUAUUAUUAUUAUUAUUAUUAUUAUUAUUAUUAUUAUUGUCAUCAUUAUCAUCCUGUAGGUGCGGUAGGCUGGACAUGGUGGUCUACCAGGAUAUGUUUUCACCGGGUUAUUUAGUUUUUUCCUGUGUUUAGGUCACUUCAUUUCGUUAUAAUUCCUCAUGAACUCAACCCGAUUUUACCUCUUGUGGAGAGACGCCUGGUCCGUAUUAUUUAUUCAUGGUAAGGAGAGGUUAAGUCAGGUGAAGUUUGGAGAAUUAUUAACAAUUUCCCAUCAUGUAUUUUACUGAUUAGACUGACCAGGUGUAUUGAUGAUUAGACUGACCAGGUGUGUUGAUGAUUAGACUGACCUGGUGUGUUGAUGAUUAGACUGACUGUAUUAGACUGACCAGGUGUGUUGAUAAUUAGACUGACCAGGUGUGUUGAUGAUUAGACUGAAUGGAUUAGACUGACCAGGUGUGUUGAUGAGUAGAUUGAAUGGAUUAGACUGACCAGUUGUGUUGAUGAUUAGACUGACCAGGUGUGUUGAUGAUUAGAUUGAAUGGAUUAGACUGACCAGUUGUGUUGAUGAUUAGACUGAAUGGAUUAGACUGACCAGGUGUGUUGAUGAUUAGAUUGAAUGGAUUAGACUGACCAGUUGUGUUGAUGAUUAGACUGAAUGGAUUAGACUGACCAGGUGUGUUUCUGACAGCCAGUGACCUAUAGCCUCCUCAGACCACCUAUAGCCCUGGUACACCUGUCAGCUCGAUCAGAUACCACAGCUUAAAUUUAUCUGUGGUAUAACUAUAAUGGGGUUGUGGCAUAUCUAUCUGCUGGCUGUGGUAUAGCUGUGUUAAGAGUGGUAUAACGGGGGUAUAGCUGUGUUAAGAGUGAUAUAACGGGGGUAUAGCUGUGUUAAGAGUGGUAUAACGAGGGCAUAGCUGUGUUAAGAGUGGUAUAACAGUGAUAACAAUAGAAUUCCUUUUUCUUCACAACUCGAGCUGGAGAAGUGCCCGUAACCCACCUGGCUGACCAAUGACCUACCUGGCUGACCUGCCUGACUUGACCUAUCUCCUGUGACCUACCUUGCUGACUUACCUGACUGACCUAUCUCCUGUGACUUACCUUACUGACCAACCUGACUGACCUACUUAGUGUGACCUACCUGACUCCCCUACCUGGUGUUAUCUACCUGGCUUGACCCACCACUCUGACCUACCUAGCUGACCUACCUAUUUGACUUACGUGACUAACUUACUUGGUAUGACCUACCUGGCUGACCUAAUUUGUGUGACCUACCUUACUGGCCUACCUGACUGACCUACCUGGUAUAACCUACCUAUCUGACCUACCUAGCUGGCCUGCAUAGAUGACCUACGUGGCUUUACCUUCCUGGCUGAACCUACCUAGAAGAUGACCUACCUACCUGGCUUGACCUUUCUAGAUGACCUACCAAGAGUAUGGCCUACCUACCUAUCUACCUGACUUGACCUUCCUAGCUGAACCUACCUAAAAGAUGACCUACUUAACCUACCUAGAAGAUUCCUUACCUGGUUGAUGACCUACCUGGUUGAUGACCUACCUGGUUGAUGACCUACCUGGCUUGACCUGCCCAGCCUACUGUGGUCAGAUCAGGGGCUCGUCUAGUUUACAUAGGUAGGUGUUUUUGAUGUCUCAGCUCUUAUGUAUUGGAGAGGUCAACACUGUAAUGAUCUUUUGAUAAUAAACAGAAGAUGAAU